GAUCCUGGCUCAGGAUGAACGCUGGCGGCGUGCCUAAUACAUGCAAGUCGAACGCUUCACUUCGGUGAAGAGUGGCGAACGGGUGAGUAAUACAUAAGUAACCUGGCAUCUACGGGGGGAUAACUGAUGGAAACGUCAGCUAAGACCGCAUAGGCGUAGAGAUCGCAUGAACUCUAUAUGAAAAGUGCUACGGGACUGGUAGAUGAUGGACUUACGGCGCAUUAGCUGG
RNAcentral lists this ribosomal RNA (229 nucleotides) under uncultured bacterium. RNAcentral's name for it is "partial 16S ribosomal RNA". It matches the Rfam family "Bacterial small subunit ribosomal RNA", at positions 15 to 248 of the family's 1533-position model. The record is from RNAcentral.